GACAGAGGUGCCAAGCGUUAGGCGGAAUCACUGGGCUUAAAGCGUGUGUAGGCGGGCGAUCAAGUACCUUGUGAAAUCCCACGGCUCAACCGUGGAACUGCUGGGUAUACUGGUUGUCUUGAGCCAGCUAGGGGCGAGCGGAACAGACGGUGGAGCGGUGAAAUGCGUAGAUAUCAGGAGGAACACCGGUGGCGAAGGCGGGUCUCUGGGCCGAUAUUGACGCUGAGGAGCGAAAGCGUGGGGAGCAAACAGG
This 253-nucleotide ribosomal RNA is filed under the name uncultured bacterium. RNAcentral describes it as "partial 16S ribosomal RNA". It matches the Rfam family "Bacterial small subunit ribosomal RNA", at positions 524 to 776 of the family's 1533-position model. The record is from RNAcentral.